Molecule: ribosomal RNA, 487 nt
Filed under: uncultured bacterium
Lineage: Bacteria
Description: bacterial SSU rRNA
Rfam family: Bacterial small subunit ribosomal RNA
Source: RNAcentral
AUUGAACGCUGGCGGCAUGCUUUACACAUGCAAGUCGAGCGGCAGCGCGGGGGCAACCCUGGCGGCGAGCGGCGGACGGGUGAGUAAUGCAUCGGAACGUAUCCCGUAGUGGGGGACAACCCAGCGAAAGCUGGGCUAAUACCGCAUAUGCUCUACGGAGGAAAGUGGGGGACCUGAGAGGGCCUCACGCUAUGGGAGCGGCCGAUGUCCGAUUAGCUAGUGGUGAGGUAAAGGCUUACCAAGGCGACGAUCGGUAGCUGGUCUGAGAGGAUGAUCAGCCACACUGGGACUGAGACACGGCCCAGACUCCUACGGGAGGCAGCAGUGGGGAAUUUUGGACAAUGGGGGCAACCCUGAUCCAGCCAUGCCGCGUGCGGGAUGAAGCUCUUCGGAGUGUAAACCACUGUUGCCCGGGACGAAUAGCUCGAUUAAUCGAGCCUGACGGUACCGGGUGAGGAAGCACGGCUAACUCCGUGCCAGCCGCCGC